GCAGCAAAAUGUCUAGGACUUGCUGAGGAUAAUUGAGAAGAAGUGAGGCAGACGGUGGAGUUUGUGGGUACAGCUCGGUUGAGGCACCGCUCAGCUUCCAGUGCUGUGAUUUUUAAUUGAUAGCAAGUGGAGCCCUCUACAGAUUCCUGAGGCAAGUUAAUUCUGUGAGGGGAAGUGCUCACAUGCUUACUAACGUUUGCUCAACAAGGGCAGCAAAACAUUCCGUUUGUUCAGAAUAGCCUUUUCCCUAAGGCAAAGGAGACGUAAUGUGCUGAGAACAGAGGACUGCAGUGACCCCUGCAAUUGAGCUGAGCGGAAGCGCUCUCUAGGCAAAGACUACCAUCCCCUUUGUCUGAAGUGCUACCCGUGCAAACGGCAGCUCNGUCCUGGCCAGCACGCUGAGGAGUGGCGCUGUGUACGUGACAAAGUGACCCAGAUCCGAGCAGACAACAGUGUUGUGGAUUCAUCGCCAAACCAGCAGCUUCAACCAGGAGACUGGGUGUACCGUAAGGUGUAUCAACGUUCCAACUGUCUUGCCCCAUGUUGGACAGGACCGUACCAAGUACUCCUGGUGGUACACAGCAGCGCCAAGCUUGAAGGUCUGCAGAAUUGGGUUCACUUGAGUCAUCUAAGGCAUGCUCCUUUCCCCACAGAAAAAGACUAAAUGGAACUGAUUAAUUUGAACUAAUUAAACUGAUAUCCUGAGACAACAUCAGAAAGAAGACAGAAGAAAGAAGGGAGGGUGAAGUUGGACAACAAAAUCCUGAAGAGCUCUGAAGAAAAAAACACAUAUGGACUCAAAAAAAAAAGAAUUUUUGCUUUUGCCUCUAUCUUAGUAUUAGAUGCUUAUUUCAUUUAGCUGCUCAAUCUUAAUAUUUUAAAAUCUGCUCAUAAUUGCAUUUACUCCAUUUAAUAAUUGCUAUAUGGAUAUUGCUUUGAUUGCAGGUAUAACUUUUAGCAUAUUAGUUAUAGUCAACUCAUGGUGCAACAGAUACAAUAGUUGUCUGACCUGAAAAAGGUCAGAAGGGGGGAGUACUGUGAAGCUAAAAUGGAGGUUUGUGAAGAGGAUUAUGGGAAUUUGGAGCAAUAUACAGAGUGCAUUCCAGCCUGAGCAAAAGUAGCUUUGGCUAGGAAUGAACUCAUGCACAGGGGAUACAGGAUGGCUGAUAACAUCCCGUCNUAAACCGGUGUGUUCAUUAAAACUGGCAGGAGAUGUUGGAGUGNGUUGGAGAAUGGGAAACAUAAGAUAGUAGAGAAAACUNUUUGUUGUAGCCNGACCUGUUAUCNGCUAUGUUGAAGGUCGACUGAAUCCAGUUAAUGAUGUUACGCUUUCUUUACACUUUUGAAUGUAAUUGGUCAAACUAUGAAUAUGCAUGCUCAAACCACACCUANUNUAACUUGCUCAUUUAGUAUUACUCUAUAUAANCUUUGUUUGUUAACCAAAANGUGCGACUCCAUUGUCAUUGAUUAAUGGCAAGGUUGCCCUA
Molecule: long non-coding RNA, 1487 nt
Organism: Salvator merianae (Argentine black and white tegu)
Lineage: Eukaryota; Metazoa; Chordata; Lepidosauria; Squamata; Teiidae
Source: Ensembl